RNAcentral lists this ribosomal RNA (515 nucleotides) under uncultured bacterium. RNAcentral describes it as "partial 16S ribosomal RNA". It matches the Rfam family "Bacterial small subunit ribosomal RNA", at positions 28 to 523 of the family's 1533-position model. The record is from RNAcentral.
GAUGAACGCUGGCGGCGUGCCUAAUACAUGCAAGUCGAGCGAAUGGAUUAAGAGCUUGCUCUUAUGAAGUUAGCGGCGGACGGGUGAGUAACACGUGGGUAACCUGCCCAUAAGACUGGGAUAACUCCGGGAAACCGGGGCUAAUACCGGAUAACAUUUUGAACCGCAUGGUUCGAAAUUGAAAGGCGGCUUCGGCUGUCACUUAUGGAUGGACCCGCGUCGCAUUAGCUAGUUGGUGAGGUAACGGCUCACCAAGGCAACGAUGCGUAGCCGACCUGGGAGGGUGAUCGGCCACACUGGGACUGAGAAACGGCCCAGACUCCUACGGGAGGCAGCAGUAGGGAGUCUUCCGCAAUGGACGAAAGUCUGACGGAGCAACGCCGCGUGAGUGAUGAAGGCUUUCGGGUCGUAAAACUCUGUUGUUAGGGAAGAACAAGUGCUAGUUGAAUAAGCUGGCACCUUGACGGUACCUAACCAGAAAGCCACGGCUAACUACGUGCCAGCCGCCGCCGUAA